GACGAACGCUGGCGGCGUGCUUAACACAUGCAAGUCGAGCGGUAAGGCCCUUUCGGGGGUACACGAGCGGCGAACGGGUGAGUAACACGUGGGUGACCUGCCUCUAGCUCUGGGAUAAGCCUGGGAAGCUGGGUCUAAUACCGGAUAUGACCUCGCGGUGCAUGUUGCGGGGUGGAAAGCCUUGUGCGGCUAGGGAUGGGCCCGCGGCCUAUCAGCUUGUUGGUGGGGUGANGGCCUACCAAGGCGACGACGGGUAGCCGGCCUGAGAGGGCGACCGGCCACACUGGGACUGAGACACGGCCCAGACUCCUACGGGAGGCAGCAGUGGGGAAUCUUGCGCAAUGGGCGAAAGCCUGACGCAGCGACGCCGCGUGAGGGAUGACGGCCUCGGUGUAACU
This 398-nucleotide ribosomal RNA is filed under the name uncultured bacterium. RNAcentral's name for it is "bacterial SSU rRNA". It matches the Rfam family "Bacterial small subunit ribosomal RNA", at positions 28 to 430 of the family's 1533-position model. The record is from RNAcentral.